RNAcentral lists this ribosomal RNA (386 nucleotides) under uncultured bacterium. RNAcentral describes it as "bacterial SSU rRNA". It matches the Rfam family "Bacterial small subunit ribosomal RNA", at positions 29 to 417 of the family's 1533-position model. The record is from RNAcentral.
AUUGAACGCUGGCGGAAUGCUUUACACAUGCAAGUCGAGCGGCAGCGCGGGGCAACCUGGCGGCGAGCGGCGAACGGGUGAGUAAUGCAUCGGAACAUGUCCAUGUCGUGGGGGAUAGCCCGGCGAAAGCCGGAUUAAUACCGCAUACGCCCGAGAGGGGAAAGUGGGGGACUCGCAAGGGCCUCACGCGAUUGGGUUGGCCGAUGUCCGAUUAGCUAGUUGGCGGGGAAGAGCCCACCAAGGCGAUGAUCGGUAGCUGGUCUGAGAGGAUGAUCAGCCACACUGGGACUGAGACACGGCCCAGACUCCUACGGGAGGCAGCAGUGGGGAAUUUUGGACAAUGGGGCAACCCUGAUCCAGCCAUUCCGCGUGAGUGAAGAAGGCCU